Molecule: ribosomal RNA, 322 nt
Filed under: uncultured eukaryote
Lineage: Eukaryota
Description: partial 18S ribosomal RNA
Rfam family: Eukaryotic small subunit ribosomal RNA
Source: RNAcentral
CCCUUAGAUGUCCUGGGCCGCACGCGUGCUACACUGAGUGGAUCAGCGGGUCAGGUUGCGCGAAAGUGUUUCCUAAUCUUGAAAUCCGCUCGUGAUGGGGAUUGACGGUUGCAAUUUUCCGUCAUGAACGAGGAAUACCUUGUAAGCGCGGGUCAUCAUCCCGCGCUGAAUACGUCCCUGCCCUUUGUACACACCGCCCGUCGCUCCUACCGAUUGAGUGGUCCGGUGAGGCUUUGGGAUCUGAGCAAAGAGAGCGUUUCGCUCGUUUUGCCCGGAAAACUCAGUCGAACCUUAUCAUUUAGAGGAAGGAGAAGUCGUAACA